This is a non-coding RNA of Callorhinus ursinus (northern fur seal), 453 nucleotides long. Lineage: Eukaryota; Metazoa; Chordata; Mammalia; Carnivora; Otariidae. The record is from RefSeq and is a predicted model, not a curated record.
GGCUCCUACACGCCGAGGAACAAGGUCGUGAGAAGGGGAGGACUUGGUGGUGCUGCCAUUUCUACGGUCUUAGGGCUCUGCCCCUUUCGCAGAACUUCCAACAGCGCCAUGUUGGGACAGAGCGUCCGGAGGUUCACAACCUCUGUGGUCCAUAGGAGCCACUAUGAGGAAGGCCCAGGGAAGAAUUUGCCAUUUUCAGUGGAAAACAAGUGGCGAUUACUACUUAUGAUGACUUUGUACUUUGGAUCUGGAUUUGCUGCACCUUUUUUUAUAGUAAGACAUCAGCUGCUUAAGAAAUAAGGAUGUUUUAAUUAAUCCAUCAAACAGAUGUGAAAAGGAACAUUUUAAGAGGUGCAGUCUCUUUGAAAAAUGGAUCAAACUCUUGUUUUCAACAUACUCAAUAUGUUUGUAAAUAAACUUAUGGCAUGCAUCCUUAAUGCCUCUUCUCUGAAA